RNAcentral lists this ribosomal RNA (553 nucleotides) under uncultured crenarchaeote. RNAcentral describes it as "bacterial SSU rRNA". It matches the Rfam family "Archaeal small subunit ribosomal RNA", at positions 325 to 879 of the family's 1478-position model. Lineage: Archaea; Thermoproteati; Thermoproteota. The record is from RNAcentral.
AUGGGGUGCAGCAGGCGAGAAAACUUUGCAAUGUGCGAAAGCACGACAAGGUUAAUCCGAGUGGUUUCUGCUAAAGGAACCUUUUGUUAGUUCUAGAAAUACCAACGAAUAAGGGGUGGGCAAGUUCUGGUGUCAGCCGCCGCGGUAAAACCAGCACCUCAAGUGGUCAGGAUGAUUAUUGGGCCUAAAGCAUCCGUAGCCGGCUCUGUAAGUUUUCGGUUAAAUCUGUACGCUCAACGUACAGGCUGCCGGAAAUACUGCAGGGCUAGGGAGUGGGAGAGGUAGACGGUACUCGGGAGGAAGUGGUAAAAUGCUUUGAUCUCUCGAUGACCACCUGUGGCGAAGGCGGUCUACCAGAACACGUCCGACGGUGAGGGAUGAAAGCUGGGGGAGCAAACCGGAUUAGAUACCCGGGUAGUCCCAGCUGUAAACUAUGCAAACUCAGUGAUGCAUUGGCUUGUGGCCAAUGCAGUGUUGCAGGGAAGCCGUUAAGUUUGCCGCCUGGGAAGUACGUACGCAAGUAUGAAACUUAAAGGAAUUGGCGGGGGAGCAC